UAGGAUCUACCUAGUAGUACGGAAUAAUUGUUGGAAACGACAACUAAUACCGUAUACGCCCUACGGGGGAAAAAUUUAUUGCUAUUAGAUGAGCCUAUAUUAGAUUAGCUAGUUGGUGGGGUAAUAGCCUACCAAGGUAAUGAUCUAUAGCUGAUCUGAGAGGAUGAUCAGCCACACUGGAACUGAGAUACGGUCCAGACUCCUACGGGAGGCAGCAGUGGGGAAUAUUGGACAAUGGGCGAAAGCCUGAUCCAGCCAUGCCGCAUGAGUGAAGAAGGCCUUUGGGUUGUAAAGCUCUUUUAGUGAGGAAGAUAAUGACGGUACUCACAGAAGAAGUCCUGGCUAACUCCGUGCCAGCAGCCGCGGUAAUACGGAGAGGGCUAGCGUUAUUCGGAAUUAUUGGGCGUAAAGGGCGCGUAGGCUGGUUAAUAAGUUAAAAGUGAAAUCCCGAGGCUUAACCUUGGAAUUGCUUUUAAAACUAUUAAUCUAGAGAUUGAAAGAGGAUAGAGGAAUUCCUGAUGUAGAGGUAAAAUUCGUAAAUAUUAGGAGGAACACCAGUGGCGAAGGCGUCUAUCUGGUUCAAAUCUGACGCUGAAGCGCGAAGGCGUGGGGAGCAAACAGGAUUAGAUACCCUGGUAGUCCACGCUGUAAACGAUGAAUGUUAAAUAUGGGGAGUUUACUUUCUGUAUUACAGCUAACGCGUUAAACAUUCCGCCUGGGGACUACGGUCGCAAGAUUAAAACUCAAAGGAAUUGACGGGGACCCGCACAAGCGGUGGAGCAUGUGGUUUAAUUCGAUGCAACGC
This 805-nucleotide ribosomal RNA is filed under the name Wolbachia pipientis. RNAcentral describes it as "bacterial SSU rRNA". It matches the Rfam family "Bacterial small subunit ribosomal RNA", at positions 118 to 962 of the family's 1533-position model. The record is from RNAcentral. Lineage: Bacteria; Pseudomonadati; Pseudomonadota; Alphaproteobacteria; Rickettsiales; Anaplasmataceae.